CAUCUACAGCUUUGAAGAAAGAAAGAAAAAAAAAAAAAAAGAAGAAGAAGAAAAAAAAAAAAAUGGUGUCCCCAUUCUCUCGUUGCCAUCGUCGUCUUGGUUUUCCUUUGCUGCUUUCUGCUCAACACCUCUCCUGUGUUCAUCGAUCUGUACAGAAACA
Molecule: non-coding RNA, 160 nt
Filed under: Stygamoeba regulata
Lineage: Eukaryota; Discosea; Stygamoebida
Source: RNAcentral